AAAACUAAUUGGUUUUAAUUGAAUAAAGCAAUUAGCACAAAAAAAGUGGUUCUCCCAGGGCGAGGCUCAUCCAUUGCACUCCGGGUGUGCUGACCCCUGCGAUUUCCCCAAAUGCGGGAAACUCGACUGCAUAAUUUGUGGUAGUGGGGGACUGCGUUCGCGCUCUCCCCUG
Molecule: small nuclear RNA, 172 nt
Organism: Polypterus senegalus (gray bichir)
Lineage: Eukaryota; Metazoa; Chordata; Cladistia; Polypteriformes; Polypteridae
Product: U1 spliceosomal RNA
Exons: 1
Source: RefSeq, a predicted model, not a curated record